GACGAACGCUGGCGGCGUGCUUAACACAUGCGAGUCGAACGGGAUUUAGUAGACAGAAGCCUCGGCUAAAGAUUACUAAUGAGAGUGGCGAACGGGUGAGUAACGCGUGAGCAACCUGCCUAUGACAGUGGGAUAGCCUCGGGAAACCGGGAUUAAUACCGCAUAAAAUCGUAGAAACACAUGUUUUAACGGUCAAAGAUUUAUCGGUCAUAGAUGGGCUCGCGUCUGAUUAGCUAGUUGGUGAGAUAACAGCCCACCAAGGCGACGAUCAGUAGCCGGUCUGAGAGGAUGAACGGCCACAUUGGAACUGAGACACGGUCCAAACUCCUACGGGAGGCAGCAGUGGGGAAUAUUGCACAAUGGGGGAAACCCUGAUGCAGCGACGCCGCGUGAACGAAGAAGGUAUUCGUAUCGUAAAGUUCUGUCCUAUGGGAAGAUAAUGACAGUACCAUAGAAGAAAGCGCCGGCUAAAUACGUG
RNAcentral lists this ribosomal RNA (478 nucleotides) under uncultured bacterium. RNAcentral describes it as "partial 16S ribosomal RNA". It matches the Rfam family "Bacterial small subunit ribosomal RNA", at positions 28 to 507 of the family's 1533-position model. The record is from RNAcentral.